This 253-nucleotide ribosomal RNA is filed under the name uncultured bacterium. RNAcentral describes it as "partial 16S ribosomal RNA". It matches the Rfam family "Bacterial small subunit ribosomal RNA", at positions 524 to 776 of the family's 1533-position model. The record is from RNAcentral.
AACGUAGGAGGCAAGCGUUAUCCGGAGUUACUGGGCGUAAAGCGCAAGUAGGCGGUUGUGCAAGUUGGUUGUGAAAGCGCCCGGCUAAACUGGGCGAGGCCGAUCAAGACUGCACGGCUAGAGAGUGCUAGAGGGGCGCAGAAUUCGGGGUGUAGCGGUGAAAUGUGUAGAGAUCCCGAGGAAUACCAGUGGGGAAGCCGGCGCCCUGGGGCAUAUCUGACGCUGAGAUGCGAAAGCGUGGGGAGCGAACGGG